AAGACUAUAGACCUGCGGAGUACCUGCGGAGGGAUCAUUACCGAGUUUUCAACUCCCAAACCCCAUGUGAACUUAUACCAUUUACACCGUUGCUUCGGCGGGUUCUCGCCCCGGGCUUUACAACCCCGGAACCAGGCGGCCCGCCGGGGGACCCAAACUCUAGAUUUUAUUUUAGCAUGUCUGAGUGGAAUCAUUACAAAAUGAAUCAAAACUUUUAGCAACGGAUCUCUAGAUCGGAAG
RNAcentral lists this unclassified non-coding RNA (240 nucleotides) under soil metagenome. RNAcentral's name for it is "partial contains 5.8S ribosomal RNA, internal transcribed spacer 2, and large subunit ribosomal RNA". The record is from RNAcentral.